RNAcentral lists this ribosomal RNA (2904 nucleotides) under Shigella flexneri SFJ17B. RNAcentral's name for it is "bacterial LSU rRNA". It matches the Rfam family "Bacterial large subunit ribosomal RNA". Lineage: Bacteria; Pseudomonadati; Pseudomonadota; Gammaproteobacteria; Enterobacterales; Enterobacteriaceae. The record is from RNAcentral.
UUAAGCGACUAAGCGUACACGGUGGAUGCCCUGUCAGUCAGAGGCGAUGAAGGACGUGCUAAUCUGCGAUAAGCGUCGGUAAGGUGAUAUGAACCGUUAUAACCGGCGAUUUCCGAAUGGGGAACCCAGUGUGAUUCGUCACACUAUCAUUAACUGAAUCCAUAGGUUAAUGAGGCGAACCGGGGGGAACUGAAACAUCUAAGUACCCCCGAGGAAAAGAAAUCAACCGAGAUUCCCCCCAGUAGCGGCGAGCGAACGGGGAGCAGCCCAGAGCCUGAAUCAGUGUGUGUGUUAGUGGAAGCGUCUGGAAAGGCGUGCGAUACAGGGUGACAGCCCCGUACACAAAAAUGCACAUACUGUGAGCUCGAUGAGUAGGGCGGGACACGUGGUAUCCUGUCUGAAUAUGGGGGGACCAUACCUCCAAGGCUAAAUACUCCUGACUGACCGAUAGAGAACCAGUAACCGUGAGGGAAAGGCGAAAAGAACCCCGGCGAGGGGAGUGAAAAGAACCUGAAACCGUGUACGUACAAGCAGUGGGAGCACGCUUAGGCGUGUGACUGCGUACCUUUUGUAUAAUGGGUCAGCGUCUUAUAUUCUGUAGCAAGGUUAACCGAAUAGGGGAGCCGAAGGGAAACCGAGUCUUAACUGGGCGUUAAGUUGCAGGGUAUAGACCCGAAACCUGGUGAUCUAGCCAUGGGCAGGUUGAAGGUUGGGUAACACUAACUGGAGGACCGAACCGACUAAUGUUGAAAAAUUAGCGGAUGACUUGUGGCUGGGGGUGAAAGGCCAAUCAAACCGGGAGAUAGCUGGUUCUCCCCGAAAGCUAUUUAGGUAGCGCCUCGUGAAUUCAUCUCCGGGGGUAGAGCACUGUUUCGGCAAGGGGGUCAUCCCGACUUACCAACCCGAUGCAAACUGCGAAUACCGGAGAAUGUUAUCACGGGAGACACACGGCGGGUGCUAACGUCCGUCGUGAAGAGGGAAACAACCCAGACCGCCAGCUAAGGUCCCAAAGUCAUGGUUAAGUGGGAAACGAUGUGGGAAGGCCCAGACAGCCAGGAUGUUGGCUUAGAAGCAGCCAUCAUUUAAAGAAAGCGUAAUAGCUCACUGGUCGAGUCGGCCUGCGCGGAAGAUGUAACGGGGCUAAACCAUGCACCGAAGCUGCGGCAGCGACGCUUAUGCGUUGUUGGGUAGGGGAGCGUUCUGUAAGCCUGUGAAGGUGUACUGUGAGGUAUGCUGGAGGUAUCAGAAGUGCGAAUGCUGACAUAAGUAACGAUAAAGCGGGUGAAAAGCCCGCUCGCCGGAAGACCAAGGGUUCCUGUCCAACGUUAAUCGGGGCAGGGUGAGUCGACCCUAAGGCGAGGCCGAAAGGCGUAGUCGAUGGGAAACAGGUUAAUAUUCCUGUACUUGGUGUUACUGCGAAGGGGGGACGGAGAAGGCUAUGUUGGCCGGGCGACGGUUGUCCCGGUUUAAGCGUGUAGGCUGGUUUUCCAGGCAAAUCCGGAAAAUCAAGGCCGAGGCGUGAUGACGAGGCACUACGGUGCUGAAGCAACAAAUGCCCUGCUUCCAGGAAAAGCCUCUAAGCAUCAGGUAACAUCAAAUCGUACCCCAAACCGACACAGGUGGUCAGGUAGAGAAUACCAAGGCGCUUGAGAGAACUCGGGUGAAGGAACUAGGCAAAAUGGUGCCGUAACUUCGGGAGAAGGCACGCUGAUACGUAGGUGAAGCGACUUGCUCGUGGAGCUGAAAUCAGUCGAAGAUACCAGCUGGCUGCAACUGUUUAUUAAAAACACAGCACUGUGCAAACACGAAAGUGGACGUAUACGGUGUGACGCCUGCCCGGUGCCGGAAGGUUAAUUGAUGGGGUUAGCGCAAGCGAAGCUCUUGAUCGAAGCCCCGGUAAACGGCGGCCGUAACUAUAACGGUCCUAAGGUAGCGAAAUUCCUUGUCGGGUAAGUUCCGACCUGCACGAAUGGCGUAAUGAUGGCCAGGCUGUCUCCACCCGAGACUCAGUGAAAUUGAACUCGCUGUGAAGAUGCAGUGUACCCGCGGCAAGACGGAAAGACCCCGUGAACCUUUACUAUAGCUUGACACUGAACAUUGAGCCUUGAUGUGUAGGAUAGGUGGGAGGCUUUGAAGUGUGGACGCCAGUCUGCAUGGAGCCGACCUUGAAAUACCACCCUUUAAUGUUUGAUGUUCUAACGUGGACCCGUGAUCCGGGUUGCGGACAGUGUCUGGUGGGUAGUUUGACUGGGGCGGUCUCCUCCUAAAGAGUAACGGAGGAGCACGAAGGUUGGCUAAUCCUGGUCGGACAUCAGGAGGUUAGUGCAAUGGCAUAAGCCAGCUUGACUGCGAGCGUGACGGCGCGAGCAGGUGCGAAAGCAGGUCAUAGUGAUCCGGUGGUUCUGAAUGGAAGGGCCAUCGCUCAACGGAUAAAAGGUACUCCGGGGAUAACAGGCUGAUACCGCCCAAGAGUUCAUAUCGACGGCGGUGUUUGGCACCUCGAUGUCGGCUCAUCACAUCCUGGGGCUGAAGUAGGUCCCAAGGGUAUGGCUGUUCGCCAUUUAAAGUGGUACGCGAGCUGGGUUUAGAACGUCGUGAGACAGUUCGGUCCCUAUCUGCCGUGGGCGCUGGAGAACUGAGGGGGGCUGCUCCUAGUACGAGAGGACCGGAGUGGACGCAUCACUGGUGUUCGGGUUGUCAUGCCAAUGGCACUGCCCGGUAGCUAAAUGCGGAAGAGAUAAGUGCUGAAAGCAUCUAAGCACGAAACUUGCCCCGAGAUGAGUUCUCCCUGACCCUUUAAGGGACCUGAAGGAACGUUGAAGACGACGACGUUGAUAGGCCGGGUGUGUAAGCGCAGCGAUGCGUUGAGCUAACCGGUACUAAUGAACCGUGAGGCUUAACCUU